UCAGUAUCUGCAACCUGCAUCGCAAGAGCUGUAGGUCUCUGAAGCAAGAGCAGCGGAAGCAGGUCUCGCAGUGCACGGUGCCUCAGUACCUGCCUGCAGAACCUCUGCCAGAGCAGCUUCUUCGGGGUUUAUCUCCAGCCCCAGGGCCAAAAGCUGCACRUUCUGACCCGAGAGCUGCAGCUGCGCGAAGCCAACAAGAUCCUCCUCGGCGGCAGGAGCAGCUUGCUGGGCUCU
This is a long non-coding RNA of Nothoprocta perdicaria, 234 nucleotides long. RefSeq lists it as uncharacterized. Lineage: Eukaryota; Metazoa; Chordata; Aves; Tinamiformes; Tinamidae. The record is from RefSeq and is a predicted model, not a curated record. The transcript has 2 exons.